Molecule: ribosomal RNA, 254 nt
Filed under: uncultured bacterium
Lineage: Bacteria
Description: partial 16S ribosomal RNA
Rfam family: Bacterial small subunit ribosomal RNA
Source: RNAcentral
UACGGAGGGGGCUAGCGUUGUUCGGAAUUACUGGGCGUAAAGGGCGCGCAGGCGGCUGCUCAAGUCAGGCGUGAAAGGCCUGGGCUCAACCCGGGAAUUGCGCUUGAGACUGGGCUGGCUUGAGUGCGGGAGAGGAUGGUGGAAUUCCCAGUGUAGAGGUGAAAUUCGUAGAUAUUCGCAAGAACACCAGUGGCGAAGGCGGCUCACUGGCCCGGUACUGACGCUGAGGUGCGAAAGCGUGGGGAGCAAACAGG